Molecule: ribosomal RNA, 472 nt
Filed under: uncultured organism
Description: partial 16S ribosomal RNA
Rfam family: Bacterial small subunit ribosomal RNA
Source: RNAcentral
ACACUCCUACGGGAGGCAGCAGUGGGGAAUUUUGGACAAUGGGCGAAAGCCUGAUCCAGCAAUGCCGCGUGAGUGAAGAAGGCCUUCGGGUUGUAAAGCUCUUUUGUCAGGGAAGAAACGGUGAGAGCUAAUAUCUCUUGCUAAUGACGGUACCUGAAGAAUAAGCACCGGCUAACUACGUGCCAGCAGCCGCGGUAAUACGUAGGGUGCAAGCGUUAAUCGGAAUUACUGGGCGUAAAGCGUGCGCAGGCGGUUUUGUAAGUCUGAUGUGAAAUCCCCGGGCUCAACCUGGGAAUUGCAUUGGAGACUGCAAGGCUAGAAUCUGGCAGAGGGGGGUAGAAUUCCACGUGUAGCAGUGAAAUGCGUAGAUAUGUGGAGGAACACCGAUGGCGAAGGCAGCCCCCUGGGUCAAGAUUGACGCUCAUGCACGAAAGCGUGGGGAGCAAACAGGAUUAGAAACCCCUGUAGUCCC